UCUGGUGGUUAUAGCUACGGGGAAACACCUCUUCCCAUUCCGAACAGAGAAGUUAAGCCCGUAAACGCCGAUGGUACUGCACUGGCAACGGUGCGGGAGAGUAGGUAGCUGCCAGGA
Molecule: ribosomal RNA, 117 nt
Organism: Melioribacter roseus
Lineage: Bacteria; Pseudomonadati; Ignavibacteriota; Ignavibacteria; Ignavibacteriales; Melioribacteraceae
Source: Rfam